Mytilus trossulus (common blue mussel) is the source of this 485-nucleotide long non-coding RNA. RefSeq lists it as uncharacterized. The transcript has 3 exons. The record is from RefSeq and is a predicted model, not a curated record. Lineage: Eukaryota; Metazoa; Mollusca; Bivalvia; Mytilida; Mytilidae.
CAGAGAAUCUGGGGUUUAACCUCAAACAAAUUGCAACAGAAUUAUUUUUUCAUGAAAAACGAAGAUUACAACUAUAUUAUUAACAUAUCAAAAAUCGGCAAAAAUCGGAUCACGGCAAAGUUGUAUAAUUUAUGAGAAUUUAAAAGGUAAAAUUCUACUGAAUUUCAUGCAACGUAAUGCGCGCCAUACGUCAAAAGGGAAAUAACUUGUACACUGCAACUACAAUAUGUCAACAAGCGGCAUUUGUUUUUGACUUGGAUUUGACCCAGUGGAACUUAAAACUGGAUGAAAUGGUGAUCGAAGAGAAGUCCGAAAAAAGAAAGCAAUGGUUAUUUAUCCGUUUAUACCACUAGAGCAGCAAAAUUGAGUGAUAAUGUCUGGAAGUAACUGUGUGAUAUGCAACGAACCUUUGGAGAAUGGGCAACUUCUGAUAACGAUAAGAGAAAAAGGUGCAAAAACAAUCAAUGAAGUAAGCAGCAAACAUA